AUUGAACGCUGGCGGCAGGCCUAACACAUGCAAGUCGAACGAGUGGCGGACGGGUGAGUAAUGUCUGGGAAACUGCCCGAUGGAGGGGGAUAACUACUGGAAACGGUAGCUAAUACGCCAUACCACCGGUUGUGCCCAGAUGGGAUUAGCUAGUAGGGGGGGUAAAGGCUCACCUAGGCGACGAUCCCUAGCUGGUCGGAGAGGAGGACCAGCAAAACUGGAACUGAGACACGGUCCAGACUCCUACGGGAGGCAGCAGUGGGGAAUAUUGCACAAUGGGCGCAAUCCUGAUGCAGCCAUGCCGCGUGUAUGAAGAAGGCCUUCGGGUUGUAAAGUACUUUCAGCGGGGAGGCGUUACCCGCAGAAGAAGCACCGGCUAACUCCGUGCCAGCAGCCGCGGUAAUAC
Molecule: ribosomal RNA, 406 nt
Filed under: uncultured bacterium
Lineage: Bacteria
Description: partial 16S ribosomal RNA
Rfam family: Bacterial small subunit ribosomal RNA
Source: RNAcentral